This 471-nucleotide ribosomal RNA is filed under the name uncultured bacterium. RNAcentral describes it as "bacterial SSU rRNA". It matches the Rfam family "Bacterial small subunit ribosomal RNA", at positions 28 to 507 of the family's 1533-position model. The record is from RNAcentral.
GACGAACGCUGGUCGGCGUGCUUAACACAUGCAAGUCGAACGGUGGACGAGGAGGCUUGUCUCCUCCGAUCAGUGGCGAACGGGUGAGUAACGCGUGAGUAACCUGCCCCAGACCCUGGGAUAACAGUUGGAAACAGCUGCUAAUACCGGAUACGAGACGGAGAGGCAUCUCUACCGUCUGGAAAGAUUUAUCGGUCUGGGAUGGACUCGCGGCCUAUCAGCUUGUUGGUGAGGUAAAGGCUCACCAAGGCGACGACGGGUAGCCGGCCUGAGAGGGCGACCGGCCACACUGGGACUGAGACACGGCCCAGACUCCUACGGGAGGCAGCAGUGGGGAAUAUUGCACAAUGGGCGAAAGCCUGAUGCAGCGACGCCGCGUGAGGGAUGACGGCCUUCGGGUUGUAAACCUCUUUCAGCAGGGAAGAAGCGAAAGUGACGGUACCUGCAGAAGAAGCACCGGCUAACUACGUG